RNAcentral lists this ribosomal RNA (445 nucleotides) under uncultured bacterium. Its description in RNAcentral is "bacterial SSU rRNA". It matches the Rfam family "Bacterial small subunit ribosomal RNA", at positions 331 to 792 of the family's 1533-position model. The record is from RNAcentral.
CCAGACUCCUACGGGAGGCAGCAGUGGGGAAUAUUGCACAAUGGGGGGAACCCUGAUGCAGCGACGCCGCGUGAAGGAAGAAGUAUCUCGGUAUGUAAACUUCUAUCAGCAGGGAAGAAAGAGGACGGUACCUGACUAAGAAGCCCCGGCUAACUACGUGCCAGCAGCCGCGGUAAUACGUAGGGGGCGAGCGUUAUCCGGAUUUACUGGGUGUAAAGGGAGCGUAGACGGCCAUGCAAGCUCGGUGUGAAAGGUGCGGGCACAACCCGCAGACUGCUCUGAGAACUGUAUGGCUGGAGUGCCGGAGGGGCAGGCGGAAUUCCUGGUGUAGCGGUGAAAUGCGUAGAUAUCACGCAGAACUCCGAUUGCGAAGGCAGCGCACCGGCGCCCUACUGACGCUCAGGCACGAAAGCGUGGGUAUCGAACAGGAUUAGAUACCCUAGUA